RNAcentral lists this ribosomal RNA (339 nucleotides) under uncultured Burkholderiales bacterium. RNAcentral describes it as "bacterial SSU rRNA". It matches the Rfam family "Bacterial small subunit ribosomal RNA", at positions 1 to 346 of the family's 1533-position model. Lineage: Bacteria; Pseudomonadati; Pseudomonadota; Betaproteobacteria; Burkholderiales. The record is from RNAcentral.
CAUGGAGUUUGAUCCUGGCUCAGAUUGAACGCUGGCGGCAUGCCUUACACAUGCAAGUCGAACGGCAGCACGGGAGCAAUCCUGGUGAGAGUGGCGGAACGGGUGAGUAAUAUAUCGGAACGUGCCCAGUCGUGGGGGAUAACGUAGCGAAAGUUACGCUAAUACCGCAUACGAUCUACGGAUGAAAGCGGGGGAUCGCAAGACCUCGCGCGAUUGGAGCGGCCGAUAUCAGAUUAGGUAGUUGGUGAGGUAAAGGCUCACCAAGCCAACGAUCUGUAGCUGGUCUGAGAGGACGACCAGCCACACUGGAACUGAGACACGGUCCAGACUCCUACGGGA